AGACUUUCGCUUUGCACAAACAUCUUCUCUGAGUGAUCCAGCACCUCCUGCAGCUCUGGCAAACUCUGGGUCAGCCUGGAGUCCCUCGGAGCUGGAGCUGAGGUCAGAGAAGCCCAGGACAGCCAUGAAGCCGUGGGUCCUCGCGCCUAACCACCACAGUUAAGAAUUCUGAUACGUUACCAAACCGCCACCCAGAAAGGAUAUUGCAAUUUGGACUUCUACAAGAAAUCAGAAACAGUAAAGAACAGCCUAGCUGCCUGCAGGAGUGACUGAGGCUCUGAAGUCCAGAGCUUUGCGGAGUUGUCACUUGGGAGAGUAAACCUCCAAUGGUCUGCCGGUGUAGUGAGCAUAGCAACCUGAAUCAUUGUAAAUCAUAUUUGCAAGGCGGAUGGAUCAAUCUAUUGAAAGCUGAGCCCAGAACUCUGUCAGGAUUCGAGUGACACUCCUCAAGGCCAAGGGGAUUUGGACUGAAGGAUUCCGGAGAUCGCGUGGUGAGGCCGCUUGGAGUUUGCCUUGCAGGGGAGCCCCCAGCACCAAGCAUCUGCCAGCAAAGAGCCCACCUGGACCUUGGAAAACUGUGUUCUCUCUUCCCUGGUGUCCCACUGAGCCACUGACUUCUCCAGGGGUCAUUCAGAUUCUAAUCGGAACCCUUGAAGCAGCCAUUUCUUCCUGUGCUGCGGAAGCUGAACUUGCUAAAAGAAGCUAGGAUUGGUCCCCUGGUGAUCUUGGCCAGUUCUUAGACAAAGAGGCUAUAGCCAGGUCCUUAGGCAGAGUCUUGAGCCAGUACAGGUUCAUGCUUCCCAGCGGGAAUGGAUUUCUUUUCAGACAUACCCCUUAGAAACUGGUUUAUCUGGAGCUCUGUCACUUGUGCUAUACUGCCUGGGUGGAGGGAAAGACCACAGGGAAGGCUGUGGCUGUGCCGGGCAGGGAGACCUCACAGCUAUUGUGCUCCAUGGAACAGCCCAGACCCAGCCACCCUGCACGGAUGUUUUGUUUAGUCAAGGCUGGCUGUAUUAUUGUAACUUGUGUUUGGUGGGAGGGCGAUGUUGGGAGACGAUGGGAGGGGAGAGGCAUCUUAUUGCUGUCUGGGUGGGUUGGAGCUGGUAGGAGCUUGUGCCACUCUCUUCCGCUCUAUCUCUUUGUCCUCGGGAUCCUCUGAUGAUUCUAAGAGAAGCCGUGAAAGGUCAACCUCAGGCUGUUGAAAACACACGCCUUGAGGUUAUCCGACAGCCUAAGCUGUACCCUACCAGAUGGGAAAGGUGCGCUGUUGUUGGGAUCAUCUGAAGGCUGCCCCUUCAAGUGCCAGGGUAGCUAGCUGUGCAGCAAGGCUCAGAGUUAAAACGAGCUCGGCAGAAGACAUAGGAAGCCAUUGUCUGGUUGGAUUUUCUGGCCCAUUAAGAAGUCUGGUCUGUAACCUUGAAGACAGGAUGUGACCCCCACAUAAGUUCCUCACCUUGAUGACCCACAUGUAUCCAUGGGUCCAUCACAGUGCUCCCCAGAGCUUGGCUCUCACUGGGACUGAGCAUGAAAGAGUUGAUCUUUGAAUGUGUUCUCACCAUAGCCACAUAGGAAGAGUGUCGCAUCUCCUGCUCGGCACCUCUCUGGCAGUUCCCCUGAAUCUCUGUAGGUCAGAGGGCAGGAAUCCACUUGCCAACGCACAGGUACCAGGCUAUGUGCGUCUACAUGCGGAGAAGGUCAGGCUUCCCCACAAAGUACCCUGCUGGUUGUAAAAGAUGGAAUUUGCUGUUGAAGUCACAGUUUGCAAUCUUGAUGUUCAUGCCAGCCUCUGAGGGUUUGUCUGCCUUAAAGGCUGUCAGGACAGUGCACUUCUGGUGACAGCAUGCACAUUAGACACUACUAUUGGAAUUUGCUUCAGACCUCUGUUUUCUCUCCCACUGCCACGAGGCACCGGGUACUCAAAUACCUCUCUUCCACUAGCAGGUUUUAUAACAAGGCUGGUUUCCCAGUGUGGAUCACUUGGAAUAUUCCACUCUGUUGGGAUUGUUGGAGCCUUGCAUCCUUAACUCACAGGAUGUUCUCUGGAUGGUAGAGACGUGCUUUGCAGUGAGGAUUCGAUGGGUGGACAUGACCGCCGCUGGCUUAUCUUGGCUGAGGAUCUUCAGCAGCUGCCUGUAUGGGGGGUCUCUCUCUCUCUCUCAAGCAGAUAUGGCUGAGAGGCCCUGCAGCUUGUCCAGACCUGCCAGUGGGCCUCAGACUCAAGGCACAGGGUGGGGUGGGGUGGGGAGGUGGUGGUGGUGGGGGGUGAGCUUAAGUUUGAGAAAGGCGUGCACUUGUUUCAAGUCAUCUCAGGUGAGAGCCGAAGUUUCACCUGAUGACGUUAUCUUUAUAGUGGAAAUAAACACACUGCUGGACCAAAAAAAAAAAAAAAAUUUUUUUUUAAAUAAUUUGCAAAGGAAAAAGUGAUUAAAAGAAAAGAAGUGAAAAGCAUAAAAGAUUAAAAUUAGGGAGGGCAAAAAGGAGCAGCAAACCAGACCCAGUCAGGACUCACAGGUGUUUGGGAUCAUAAAAUGACAGACAGUUUCAUAUAAAGUCACUUGCAUGGCAAGGCUGGGGGUAGGCAGUAAUAGAAUUCUCAGCUAGCCCCUUUGCUUAAGGGAAACUACACAGGGUCCCAAAGAGCUUUUGUUUUUAUGUGGGUUCUAAUUACCAAUACUUUAUUAGAAAUGAUACCCUAUAAGAUUCCUCAACAGCCUUCUCAUCUCCAGCUUGCAUGGACUCGAACUGUUUGGCUUUUUUUUUUUUUAGAGCUUUAUUAGAGCAACUUCGCUUAAGACUCUAAACGUGGGUUUCAGAGCGGUGCCACAAUUUAACCGGCCUUGGGACAAAAAUGACACAGUAAGUCACUUUAGUGUCAGCCUAAGCGCGGAGGGGACGGUCUCAGUCUGCUCAGGUUCUUUGGAGUAGAUUCUCUCUUCUGGAGAACUCUAGAACCUCCUGGGUCAGUCUCAGCAUCUUCAAUUGAAGCUAAAUGCAAAGGAGAGAAAUCUUGUGGCCUCAGCUGCCCGGAGGCUGCCCCUGUGUCAUU
Mus pahari (shrew mouse) is the source of this 3046-nucleotide long non-coding RNA. RefSeq lists it as uncharacterized. The transcript is spliced from 3 exons. The record is from RefSeq and is a predicted model, not a curated record. NCBI's taxonomy places the organism in Eukaryota, Metazoa, Chordata, Mammalia, Rodentia, Muridae.